GGGGUUGUGGCUCAGUGGUAGAGCACAUGCCUAGCAAAUGUGAGGCCCUGGGUUUGAUUCUCAGCACCA
RNAcentral lists this transfer RNA (69 nucleotides) under Ictidomys tridecemlineatus (thirteen-lined ground squirrel). Its description in RNAcentral is "Spermophilus tridecemlineatus (thirteen-lined ground squirrel) tRNA". It matches the Rfam family "tRNA". From Rfam's summary of the family: Transfer RNA (tRNA) molecules are approximately 80 nucleotides in length. The record is from Rfam by way of RNAcentral. Lineage: Eukaryota; Metazoa; Chordata; Mammalia; Rodentia; Sciuridae.